RNAcentral lists this ribosomal RNA (292 nucleotides) under uncultured bacterium. RNAcentral's name for it is "partial 16S ribosomal RNA". It matches the Rfam family "Bacterial small subunit ribosomal RNA", at positions 505 to 796 of the family's 1533-position model. The record is from RNAcentral.
GUGUCAGCCGCCGCGGUAAUACGUAGGGGGCAAGCGUUGUCCGGAUUUAUUGGGCGUAAAGAGCGUGUAGGCGGCCAGAUAGGUCGGUUGUGAAAACUGGAGGCUUAACCUUCAGACGUCGAUCGAAACCAUCUGGCUAGAGUCCGGAAGAGGAGAAUGGAAUUCCUGGUGUAGCGGUGAAAUGCGCAGAUAUCAGGAAGAACACCCGUGGCGAAGGCGGUUCUCUGGGACGGUACUGACGCUGAGACGCGAAAGCGUGGGGAGCGAACAGGAUUAGAAACCCUAGUAGUCC